GCCGCCGUAGCUCAGCUUUGGGAGAGCGCCCGGCUGAAGACCGGGAGGUCGGGGGUUCAAAUCCCCCCGGCGGCA
RNAcentral lists this transfer RNA (75 nucleotides) under Ignisphaera aggregans. RNAcentral's name for it is "tRNA-Phe". It matches the Rfam family "tRNA". Rfam says of the family: Transfer RNA (tRNA) molecules are approximately 80 nucleotides in length. Their secondary structure includes four short double-helical elements and three loops (D, anti-codon, and T loops). Further hydrogen bonds mediate the characteristic L-shaped molecular structure. tRNAs have two regions of fundamental functional importance: the anti-codon, which is responsible for specific mRNA codon recognition, and the 3' end, to which the tRNAs corresponding amino acid is attached (by aminoacyl-tRNA synthetases). tRNAs cope with the degeneracy of the genetic code in two manners: having more than one tRNA (with a specific anti-codon) for a particular amino acid; and 'wobble' base-pairing, i.e. permitting non-standard base-pairing at the 3rd anti-codon position. Lineage: Archaea; Thermoproteati; Thermoproteota; Thermoprotei; Desulfurococcales; Desulfurococcaceae. The record is from RNAcentral. RNAcentral also lists the same sequence under 1 other name.